Molecule: ribosomal RNA, 484 nt
Filed under: uncultured bacterium
Lineage: Bacteria
Description: partial 16S ribosomal RNA
Rfam family: Bacterial small subunit ribosomal RNA
Source: RNAcentral
AUUGAACGCUGGCGGCAGGCCUAACACAUGCAAGUCGAGCGGAUGAAGUGAGCUUGCUCCUGGAUUCAGCGGCGGACGGGUGAGUAAUGCCUAGGAAUCUUCCUGGUAGUGGGGGAUAACGUCCGGAAACGGGCGCUAAUACCGCAUACGUCCUGAGGGAGAAAGUGGGGGAUCUUCGGACCUCACGCUAUCAGAUGAGCCUAGGUCGGAUUAGCUAGUUGGUGGGGUAAAGGCCUACCAAGGCGACGAUCCGUAACUGGUCUGAGAGGAUGAUCAGUCACACUGGAACUGAGACACGGUCCAGACUCCUACGGGAGGCAGCAGUGGGGAAUAUUGGACAAUGGGCGAAAGCCUGAUCCAGCCAUGCCGCGUGUGUGAAGAAGGUCUUCGGAUUGUAAAGCACUUUAAGUUGGGAGGAAGGGCAGUAAGUUAAUACCUUGCUGUUUUGACGUUACCAACAGAAUAAGCACCGGCUAACUUCGUG